UUAAAUACCACCAACAACAUCUCAUUAAACUUUAUGAAUCAAUGGAGUAAGUAACAAAAUAAAAUAUCACAAUUUAUUUUUUAAAAGAUCAUAGCAGACUAUUAUAUAUGUCAGGAUAUAUAGAUAUAGACACAAACCGUAGUGAUGAUAAACUAUGAUACUUUACUAUAUUCGUUGAUAUUUUAGUUCAUUUAAAAAAUGACACAAACUAUAUUUGCUUAACUAAUGAUAUAUUUUGGAAUGUAUUAUAUAUUGUAGGGCUGGAGUAAAUGUAAAAGGAUAUUUUGCAUGGACAUUGUUGGACGAUUUUGAAUGGUCAAGAGGAUAUACUAUGCGAUUUGGAAUAACCUACAUUGAUUUCAAAGACAAAACCUUGGAACGAAUCCCAAAACUCUCGUCAAAGUGGUUCACUCAUUUCUUAAGCAGUUGAAAAGAUGAUUCACAACCACAUCAAAGCUAUUUGCCAAGGCAUUAUAAUAAAGCUAUUUGCCAAGGCAUUAUAAUAAAGCUAUUUCGUAAGGCAUUAUAUUGUAAUGGGUAGUUUUUUGUUUUUGAUAUUGCAAUCCUUGUUAUUUCAAUGUUUUGGGUCAAUAAAAUAAAUUACCUAGAGCUACUGUGUUGUUUGGAUUGAGAAUAUAUAAUCUACUUUAAUUUACUCUUUCACCUUUUUUUCUUCUUCUUAUUAUUAUGAUUGUUAGACUAGUUGUAUAAAUGACAUUCAAACAAAAAAAAACAUAAAAAUAUACAACAUAAAAAUUGGUAAAAGACUAAAAACUUUCACGUGUAUUGUGUUAUAUUUUAAAAUUAUUUUUCUGGUUGCGUUAUUUUUCGUUGUCGUCAUCAUCGUCAAUUUCUUCUUUCUCUAACGAUUUUAGUUGAUGGAGAAUAGUUGAAUUUUAGAUAGAUUUUGUAAGAAAAAAAAACAUAGGUACUAUAAAUAAUGACUAAACUUUAUGAAAUUUUUAACAUGGAUCAUUAAUUCGUGUAUGCAAAUUUCAAAUAAAAACUAUUUGUCCAUUUGAUUGUAACUACCCAAUUUUUCAACUUAAGCUAAAGUCACUGUCCAAAUAAAAUUAUGAUCUCAAAAUCCAAAACUAUGCAAAUUUUAUAUACAUUUUAUUAAAGAAAUAGAUAUAAGACAUGACACACUCCCUUCCGGAUCACCCUACUCUUGAAUAGAGGAAGGCGUGAAGUCAACCGAUAUCGCUCCCUUUUUUAACAACACCAGCUGAUCCUUAACCUUUCACCUUUAACUAAAACGCAGGCGGAAGCUAACACACAUAACUUAAACACAACUGAGUGCAACCCUUUUCAUUAAACAAACAACUUUAUAUAAGUUUUACAUAGACAUCUAUGAUCAGCCACAAUUACAUAAAAAUAGACUCUAACUUCAACCCUCUUAAAUCCAAGUCCGUUACAAUUAAAAGACCAACUAAAUGUAACUUCUAAACAGCAAGACAUGUACAAUAAUAAGACAAAAUCCUUCAGUAGACAGGUGGCAGAUUGGUUCUUGGGCGACCAAGGAGAUGGAUGAGAGUGAUGUCUUUACACCUUAAACUAUCCUCAUCGUAAGGAGCAACAUUGGACAGUGGAGGAAGAAAAGUGGAUCAGAACUUAAUUUUAAUUUUGUGGUUUCGCGAGGAAAAGAAUGUAAUUUGUAAACUAUGAACUCUAUAGAGUGUUAAAUUAAUAACGCGAAGAAGUUAUGUUAUUCUGCUGCUUUAUUAUUAUCCAAUCUUAUCGCCUAAAGGUUAAAGUGGAUUUAUAUUAGGUAAAAGUCUUCGGUGAUGGAUUAAAGUCUAAAAGUUGUAAAUUUUUCACUGCAAUAAAAAAGUCUAAGUUUGAGGAAAAGGCUUCGUGAGGAGGCAAGUUAAGUAAGUUGUUUCGCUUACUAGGUGUUCAAUGCGUCAUCUUGUGAGGAUAUGCAAUGGGUGUCUAGGCAACACGCUCCCAUCUAGAGGAGUGGCAUUAGGGGCGGAGCGUGACAUACUAUAGAUUAUCACUACUUUUAAUUUGCUAAGUUUAUUAUUGUGCAAUUUUAAUUUUCUUGAAAUAUAAUGAACCAAUUUCAAUACUCCUUUUGGUUACAUUGAGUCGUAAGAAAUUUAAUUGAGAAACUCUACCAUUCCUUGAGUUCGACAUGUGCUACCACCCCUGCAAAGUUAGAUAGAGACGGUUAAAAUUGUUUAACCUAAUUAGAUAAACAAUUGACCCAACCAUUGAUAUAGAAUCGAAAAUGUGCUAUCUAAUCACUCUUAAUUUGGAAUCGUUAGAUGAUUUUAUGUUUGUAUUUGGCUAUUUUAUAAGUUUCGAGUAAUUCGAAGGUAAAAUCUAGUGUUCAUAAUAUUUUAGAGAUAAAAUGAGUGAAAAGAAGUUAGUAGACAUCAACGGGGGGUAAAGCAUGAAGAAAAGAAGCGAAAUUGGCAUUUACCUCGCAACACCCGAAUGCCCUACGACUACAUUAAUGCAAUUGAUAUAAAUUUGGAUUUUGUAUCUUUUCUCAUCGAUUCAAAUAGAUUAUCAAUUAUUACUCAGAACCAAUUGAUUGGCUUUUCCAAUUGAAUUUGGUUAGUCAAGCCAUAACCCUUGAAUUUAGUAGUAUAUGAGAAACAGCAUAAAUGAAUACAUGGUAUAUAGAAAAUUCCAUUUAAUUAACUUACUUUUUUAAAGAUUGAAUUCCUCAAAUUUACUUUUAUGCAAUUUACACAAAUUUCAAUUCAAAAUAAUUCAAACCCACCCUCGGUUACCUUAGGUUACAUUGGAAACCAUGUGUUUGAGAAAUUCAUGUACUCCCUGUGUACAAUCCAAACUUGCCAAAAGAACUAAUUAUUGAUGAUGUGUGAUUCGGUUAGCUGAUUUGAUCUAGAUGUGAACGAAGAAAGUAAUGUGCUUGAUCCCAUCACAAUGAUAUAUUAAACCUAAAUUUGAAAACCUAUAUAUAUUCUUAAUUAUUUCUCCAUCUGUGAUUAGAUUUGAGAUCAAAAGUAAUUAAUACCGAUUAUUAUUAUAAAAGUUGUGAUGCAAUUUCAUCGAUCUUGUAGAUGAAAGGUCUCAACUUACAUUACUUAAUAUUUUAUUUAUUUAUUAUUAUUAUUAUAAAUAUUAUCUCUCCAUAUGCCUCAACUAAUAACAUUAAUCAAAAUUAUCACUAACAUAACCUAAAUUUUAUAACUUAAAAAAUGUACAAAAACUCGUUUUUCAGGUGGGAAAGUAUUAAAUUCUUACCUGCACUCAUCAAUUCAUCAGCUAACAAUAUAUCUAAUCAAAUCCAACCUGUUUUCUCAAAGAAAAAAAAAAACCAAAUUAAGUUUUGGUAUAGAUGUGUUUUUUCUUUCUUUCACUUCUGGUCAAUGUCAUGUGAAAACUAUUAUGGAAGGUUUAGUUGUUAAAUGCCUAUUUUAAAAUUUAACAACACCGGUUAAAUAUUUACCCUAAAAUAUGCUAAUAAAUAUGUAUAAUAGUGUAUUGAUAUUCUGUUGUAUUUAUAAAUAUUUUAAACAUUUUUUGUUAAUUAAAAAUAGAAUAAUUCUCUACUAUUAAAUUAGAAGGUCAUCUUGUCGAUCUAAUAAAAUAAAUUUUAAGAAUUAGACUACUUUUACAAACAUGACAACAAAAAAACCUCGUUGCAUGAAAUGUAAAUAUAUCCAAACAUUUGAUACACAUAUAAUACAUUUUUGAUAUAUACAUUUCAUAUAUUUCUUAAAAGUUUGAUAACCAAGAUAAAUCGAAAUAAGAUCUAAGAAUUAAAUUGAUUUCCGUUGCUUCCAUCCCGAAACUUACAUACUUUAAUAUUCGCCCAUGACACAUGACAUAUAUGUGUAUUUAUAUAUAUCAUAUUUUACAUAUAUGUGUAUUUAUACAUAUCAUAUUUUAAUAUUUCAAAACACAUGUAUAUUAAAAUAAUAGUUAAAAAAAGAAACUCAUCCAGUAGCUUGCAGCUUGUCCUCGCUAUAAAAAGCCAAUCAGAAAGUUGAAGUAUCUCACCGAUCAAAGUAAAGUCAAGAAGGAUAAUAAGGGCUUUUUUCUUUUAAUUUCUUGGUUCUAUUUUCUUUGACGUAUUUUUUCCUUAUCCUUGAAUACUACUUUCAAUGGCUGAAGAGGCUCCAGACUCCUCUUUCAUUCCCACUGUAAUUAGGAGAAGCACCUUCCCUCCAGGCUUUGUUUUUGGUUCUGCAUCAUCUGCUUAUCAAGUACCAUAAAAAUAUACUUCCUUCUUUUCACUCCUAUUCUUUAGAUUUUCUAAAUGUACUAAUAAUAUUAACAUAUAUAUAUAUUGUAUUGUAACAGUAUGAAGGUGCUGCUUUUGAAUAUGGGAGAACACCAAGUAUUUGGGAUACAUAUACUCAUCUACACCCUGGUUCUUGAUCUUUCUUCCUCUCUGUCUAGCUCUUUCAAUACGAAUAAUAAGAAUAAAUAAAUGAUAAAGUAAGUUAUAUUUGUUUUUCUGGAACUCCAGAGAGGAUUGAUGAUGGCAGUAACGCAGAUGUAACAGUUGAUCAAUACCAUCGAUACCCGGUUUGUGAGAUUUAUAUAUAGUUGCAGUACAUAGAAUUAAAAAAAUUGUGUGGCAGACCACAAAUUUUUUAAACCUUAACUACUUGAAUUAUCCAUUGAAAAUGUGCAUUAAUUAUUGUUGGUGUACAAUACAGGUAGAUGUUGAGAUUAUCAAGAAAAUAGGUUUUGAUGCAUACAGAUUCUCAAUUUCGUGGUCUAGAGUGUUGCCAAGUAAGGAUUUAAGUAUCACUUAACAUAUGUAAAAAAAUUACCUUCAGUUUUUGUAUAUUUAAUUUAAAAGAUAAAAGAAUUUUGAUUUAUGAAGAAAAACGAAAACCAUGACACUUUUAUGAUAGGAAGAAAACAUUAACUAAGGACAACUUUGGUAUUUUCUUUAAUGCUAACCCUAAUGCUGACGUAUACCACAUUGAGCCUAAUGGCCACACAAUGCAAAAGUUUAGUUUUUUUAGUAUUAAACUACUUAAUUUUUAAUUUUCAUACUUUAUUUUGAGAUGAAUUUAAUUUUGAUUAAAAGUUAUACUGAAUUAUAACCAUUGGAAUAAAAUUGAUGAAAGUUGUAUAUAUAUAUAUUUUUUUGGAACUGUCAAAUAGAAAUUUAUGUUUUUUUAUGUCAAAUUUAUAUAUAUCUUAAAAUAUAAUAAUAAAUAAACAUAUCUUCAACAAAUUUGUAUUUCAGUUUCUUAACGAUGGCAUAUUGCAAAAUCUUGUCGUAUCAGUAUUGUAUAUCAAUAUUAUGUCUAUCUUUUAUAAACAAAAACAACCUUUUUUUAAAGUGAACUUUUUAAGUUUUUAAAUCAGUAAUGGAAUGUAAAUAACUAAGGAAGAAAGUAGAAAUUGGAAAUAGUGACUACAUACUUGAAUUAAAAAAAAUGAUUACCAAGAGAGAAACUUAGUGACUUUAUUACAUUAUUAUAAAACUAAACUUUUUAAUGCUCACUUAUAUAAGUUUAGUUAGCAGAUAAUCUUAAUUUGUAAUACAUCAGAUUUGGCACGUAUAUAAUUUAAUUUAAGGAUGGUUGAUGUAUUGUCAACGUUUUGAAAACACAUAGUGGGAAAGCUUUCUAGUGGUGUGAAUCAAGAAGGAAUUAACUACUACAAUAGACUCAUCAAUGAUCUCAUUUCAAAAGGUUGGUGUAUUAUUAUACAUCUUAAUACUUCAUUUGGUCCAAUUAAUUAUUCUAACCAAAUGAUUUGGGUUAAUUAACUUCAUAAUUUUGAUAAAUAUUUGGAAUUGUAAUUAAUUUGUAGGCAUCCAACCAUAUGUAACAAUUUUUCAUUGGGAUGUUCCUCAAGCUUUAGAAGAUGAAUAUUUAGGCUUCUUGUCCGAACAAAUAAUGUGAGUAUACCCUUUCUUUUUUCUUUUUUAAAUCAAUAAUAAUGGAAACAUAUGUUAUAGUAUUAAUAUUACUGUUUAUAUAUAUAUAUAUAACAAAAUACUUCCCCUACUAUUAUUAAAAACAAAAUUCAUUCCUCUUUUUCUUUGUUUCUCUCUCCUUUUAAUUAAGUUAAUAAUAUGUAAAAUGAGAUGUUUGACUUUUAAACAUCCUUGAUGAUAAGUCCUUAGUUGAUAUACAUAUUCAUAUUGCCAUAUAAUAAUCAUAAUGAUUAAUUAAAGAUUAAUGUAUAAAUUAAGCUUAAAUAGCUAUAUAUUUGUAUCCUAAUUAACUAUUACUAUAUUUAAAUAGAUGUUUAAUAAGGGUGGUCAGUAUAUAAUAAAGUUUUUAGUUUGAUUUAACCUAAUAAUAAUAUCAGAUUUGUUUCCAAACCAUUUUUGUUUGAACCCAACUUUCUCCUCUGUCAAAUGUGUUCAAAGUAAAUAUAUCCCAAAGCUUUGCUUUCUUCUUUUUCUGUUUUAAAAGUUUUGGCUAAAUCAUUAGACGAGGGUCUAUUGAAAAGUUACUAAAAUAGAACAAAGAAAUUGUUAAAAUACAUAUUAUAGAUCCUAAAAUAGAAUCGUGUGGUUCAAGGAAAGGAAAUAACAUGAAUAUUAUUAUUGAUUUCAGAGAUGAUUAUCGAGACUUUGCUGAGCUUUGCUUCAAAGAGUUUGGAGAUAGAGUGAAACAUUGGAUCACUUUUAACGAGCAAUAUAUCUUUGCCUCAUAUGGCUAUGCAACUGGGCUAUUUGCACCCGGCAGGGGGGCUUCUUCGAAACAUUUAGAUUAUCUUUGUGGAGAUUCUGAGCAUAAACCACAUGUUGGUCUUGUGCCACGAAGAGGCUUUUUUUGGAAACAGUUAGAAUGUGAACUCGAGGGACAUCCUGGAACUGAACCAUAUAUCGUUGGUCACAACCAAAUUCUCGCACAUGCUGCUACGGUUAAACUUUACAAGUCUAAAUAUGUAAUAUUUUCCCCUCGUAUUUCUUAAAUUUUGAUUUUGGUUAAAAGCUCAAAAUUUAUAAUUUAUUGACAUUGAAGUAAACUAAAUUUUUCACUAUUUUUCAACCAUUUUCUUAUAUGGUAUUUGUAGGAAUAUCAAAAUGGUAAAAUUGGAGUGACACUUAAUACGGAUUGGUAUGUCCCAAAUUCAAAUCUUGUGGAUGAUAUAAGAGCUGCAUCUCGAGCUCUCGAUUUCUCUCUUGGUUGGUAAGUAAAAUAACUAAUAUAUAACAAAGCACAGAAAAUGUUUCAAAUAGAUAUCUAUAUCCACGAGUAUCUAUAUUAUUUGAAUUAAUUAACUUAUUAUGUUGAAACAAUUUAAAUGUUAUUAUUUGUAGGUUUUUGCAUCCAUUGGUGUAUGGAGAUUAUCCAGACAGCAUGAGAGAACUUGUGAAGGAGAGAUUGCCAAAGUUCACAGAUGAUGAAGUUAGUUUGGUGAAAGGGUCUUAUGAUUUUCUUGGAAUCAAUUACUACACAGCUAACUAUGCAAAAAAUAAUCCUAAUGUUGAUCCCAACAAACCAAGCCAAGUCACUGAUUCCCAUGCCGAUGUUUCAAGUAAUUCAUCAACUAUAUAUUUUAAUUUUACAUCAAAACGAUCUUAUAAUUUUAUAUAUCUUUUACUUUUACAUUUAUUUUAAAUUUUCCCAUACACAUUUAAAUUUCUGUUUUUGACUAUAUAUGCCCAUUUGUGUGUUUCUGAAUUGUAGCUGAUCGAGAUGGAGUUUCAAUUGGUCCAAAGGUAAUCCACUGUUUGAAUUACAUUACUUUGUUUAAAUAUUUAACUUUAUGCAAUUUUCUUUUUUUUACUAAAUGGUUUGUUUAUUUUGUAGGUUCGUAAAGAUUCUUGGCUUGCAGUUUAUCCAGAAGGGCUAAAAGAUCUUAUGAUACAUAUAAAGCAUCAUUACAAAGAUCCAAUCAUCUACAUCACAGAAAACGGUACUGCAAUUAAUUUUACUAUAUACAUAUAUAGAUACCACAUGCUCUAUGUUUAUAAUAAUCCUAUUGAUUAAAGUAUUUUCUAAAUACAGGAUAUCUUGACUAUGAUAGUUCCGAUGUCGAAAAAUUACUCAAGGAUGAGGGUAGAGUUAAAUACUACCAACAACAUCUCAUUAAACUUCAUGAAUCAAUGGAGUGAGUAAAUAAAUAAAUUAUCACAAUUUAUUUUGCAAAAGAUCGUAAUAGACUAUUAAACUCUCUGUCAAGAUAGACACAAACCAUAAUUAUGAUAAACUAUGAUACUUUGCUAUUAUGCUAUUGUCGUUGAGUAAUAAUAUAAUUUGGAAUAUGUUAUAUUAAUUGCAGGGCUGGAGUGAAGGUAAAAGGAUAUUUUGCAUGGACAUUGUUGGAUGAUUUUGAAUGGUCAAGAGGGUACACUAUGCGAUUUGGAAUAACAUACAUCGAUUUCAAAAGCAAAACUUUGGAACGAAUCCCAAAACUCUCAUCAAAGUGGUUCAACCAUUUCUUAAGCACUUGAAGAUGAUUCACAACCCCAUCAAAACCUAUUUGCCAAGCCAUUAUAAUAAAG
RNAcentral lists this long non-coding RNA (8416 nucleotides) under Cucumis sativus (cucumber). RNAcentral describes it as "long non-coding RNA (CSAT_LNC000417)". The record is from RNAcentral. Lineage: Eukaryota; Viridiplantae; Streptophyta; Magnoliopsida; Cucurbitales; Cucurbitaceae.